This is a long non-coding RNA of Setaria italica (foxtail millet), 429 nucleotides long. RefSeq lists it as uncharacterized. The transcript is spliced from 3 exons. Lineage: Eukaryota; Viridiplantae; Streptophyta; Magnoliopsida; Poales; Poaceae. The record is from RefSeq and is a predicted model, not a curated record.
AGCUGUGAAGGCAGGUGUCUGAGGUCGUUUCAUGCAACUAAAGAUUCAGGCGACGGUUGUGCAACCUUAGGCUACAGCAGGCAGCAGUUCAAUGCGAUGAAAGUUUUUAUGUGCAAGAAUUGCGAGUACGAAAGAUAUCAAUGUUUUGCUUGUGGGUGUUUGGGUUCAGCUAAAACUAAUCCUCCCGAGGUGUUUCCAUGUGCUUCUGCAACUUGUGGUUACUUCUAUCAUGCUAAAUGUGUUGCCCAGUUACUCUUCCCUGAAAAUGAAGCCAAAUCAACUGAGUAUACAUCAAAGAUAGCCAGUGGGGCUAAAUUUGCCUGUCCGCUCCACAAAUGUGACAUCUGCAAGUACGGUGAAAACAAAGAGGUUAAGGAACUGCAGUUUGCUGUUUGUCGGCGGUGCCCGAAGGCAUAUCAUAGAAGAUGU